AUAAUUCAGUACGUCAAUGAAUUAUCAAUUGAAUUUCACACGUUAAAUUUGGGCUCUGAAUUUUUGGAUUGAUGACGAUUGAUUGCAAAGUUUAAUUCGGGCUUGACGCAUUGCUGUGAAAAUCUAAGGGAUCGCAACCAAUAUUGAAACGAUUAAUCGCGGGGGUUUAGUUACGCAUUCGGUCGGCCUGUCGUAUUAUAGAUUUCUCGUAGUUUUUCGGAAACGGCAGUGGAACUGCAGCAGCAGAAGCGACAACAUCGGCAGCGACAACAUCCUCGGAACAGGGGAGGGGAAAUUGAGGCUUUCAAUCAGUCACCACGGCGGUUCAUUCGUCGCAGAACUCAUUCAACUUCC
Molecule: unclassified non-coding RNA, 354 nt
Filed under: Athalia rosae (coleseed sawfly)
Lineage: Eukaryota; Metazoa; Arthropoda; Insecta; Hymenoptera; Athaliidae
Description: misc RNA ENSAEAG00005009872.1
Source: RNAcentral